AAUAUUUAGAAAAAGGCAGUCAAGUGAAAGGGAUUUUUACUUUGAUUUUGAGGUGGAUUUGGAGUCAAGGUUGUGUAGUUUUUUUUGGAGGGAUGG
Ipomoea nil (Japanese morning glory) is the source of this 96-nucleotide long non-coding RNA. RefSeq lists it as uncharacterized. The record is from RefSeq and is a predicted model, not a curated record. The transcript is spliced from 3 exons. Lineage: Eukaryota; Viridiplantae; Streptophyta; Magnoliopsida; Solanales; Convolvulaceae.